Molecule: long non-coding RNA, 399 nt
Organism: Lolium rigidum
Lineage: Eukaryota; Viridiplantae; Streptophyta; Magnoliopsida; Poales; Poaceae
Exons: 2
Source: RefSeq, a predicted model, not a curated record
UGCUCCAGAUCUACAAGAUUUGCUACGGGAGGGGUUUCUUGCUCCAGAUCAAAGAACCUUAGCCCGUGGAGUGACCUUAUCGGAGCACGACAGGGAUGAUCCACCAGAGGAGGAGUAGAAGAAGGCCAUGCAGAAAAGCUCAUGGACAUGUCCCCAGCGAAUUGUUUUCUUCGAUUUCAUGUUAAAAACUUCUAUGCAACUCAAGUUUGAUUGAUGCUAUCUGGCUUGGUGCAAUUUAGAUAAUUGACAUGUAUUAAUUAUUGUUGCAAGAUGUUUCUUUUUGUAAGAUUUGUUGCAAGACUUUCUACCUUUUUAAUUAAUUCUGCCUGGAGAUGUAAAGAUUGGUUGAAUAUGUUGUGUAUUUCGAAUUAUAAGUAUUUCUUGAUAUUUCUGUAUUAA